ACACCCUCAACGCAAGCAAGUAAAACCAAUACACCAAACGACACAGAGGAUGAAGACGACACAGGGCAUAGAGCUAAAACCAAAAACAGAGGCAGAGGCAGAGGAAACACUCACAAUCAGACAGGACGAGGAAACCCUAAAUCCAGGACACCUACACCGAUUAAGAAACCUUCAAUCCCAAAAAAAGAACAAAACAACCAAGCACCCAUUUUCAACUCAACUACCACAAAACCGCAGGCACAAAACGAAGAAAUGAACAAACCAAUAGACCCAUCAACACUAUUCACUCCUUUGAAAACAGGACCAACUAACAAGGAAACGGAAAAUAGUCAAACCAAACCCAGCAAGGAUACCGAAGAUAAACUUGAAAAAACUUGGGAAAAGUAUAUUAAGCAACACCCAACACCGGACGCAACAGCUCUUAGACGUCACUUUCAAAAAAUAUAUUCAUUUUUUGAAGAACUUUUCACAAAGCAACACCCUCAAACCACGAAAAUCGAAGAUAAACCAUUAAAUCAGAUCAACAAAGACAUUCAAGAACUCAAAAAACAUCACAGCGAGUCCCAAAAGAAACAGCAGGAAACAAUGAAUGAACUAAAAGAAAUAAAGAAAAUGUUAGAAAAGAGCAAUCAGACUUUUCAACAAUCCUUUAAACAGAUAGAUAAAUCAGUACAGCAAAAUGUAAAGCACAAAGAAGAAUACCCCGCUCUACAAUCAUAUGCGGAUAGACUCAAGAAAAGCCUUCAGUGCAACCAAAUCGCAAACAAAAACGACAAUAUUUUUGAUUUCAAUGUCAACUUGAAAGGAGUAAAAAUAGAAAAAGAGAAGGAAGAGAGCACCAUAAAUUAUAUUAUGGAAAAGUCGAAGAUUUUUAGACAAAACUCGAACAUAGAUCUGAUCAGGCUUAUAAACGGAGGAACAACAAUAAAGAUACGUGGAACCUCAACGGAAAAAGAAAAUCUGAAACAAAAUCUCCAAAAAAUCAUAAAUGAAGUAACACAAGAAGAAGUUGACAUAACAUCAAGAAAAUCAUCCGAAGUCAUGAAAAUUACAGCUCUAAAUGCAAAUUUUUCAGACGAGCAGAUACAUGGUAUGAUAGAGGAAAAUCUGAACAUCCCUCAAUAUAACAGAAACUACAUAAGAGAAAAUGUCAAGAUAUUUAGAAGGAUCACAUCAAGGUUUGAUAGCACCAAGAUGACAGUCUUCAUGAGAGUCACUUCUCCUCUGCUAGAAUCAAUAAAUAGUAAAAAAGAAUUUCUACCAUCGCCAAAUCAUUUUAGAAGAGUUACUAUUACACCAAUCAUUUAUGUUUCAAAUUGUACUAAAUGUUUUGGUUUUCAUGCAUCAGCUAAGUGCGAAGAAAUGAAUCUUUGUAAAAACUGUGGAUCAUCUGAACACAAAAUCUCGGAAUGUAAAGUAACCAAAAACUGUAUAAACUGCAAAAGAGCAAAUAGAGGGAAAGGUACUUUCAACCAUCUACCGACCGAUAAAGAAUGCCCACAGCUUCAACGAGAAUUGGAAAGACAGACAGAAAGAUGCUACAGAGAGGCGAACCCAAGUAUAAUUGAAGAACUCAAGUUUCAAAAUAACAACGCAUUAUUGACACAAAUCAAUAAUCUACAACAUGGAUAACAAAGACAGAGAGAAAAUAAAUGAACACAUAGAUAAUCUUUUUGGGAACGCCCUCUCUAGAGUCGAAAAAGCACUUAGAACUACAUCCAGAACCAGAAAUGAUUCUGCCUCUUCUCACCACCGACCACAGUUGAUCGAUCGCCGAUCGUUUAAUCCACCCGAGACAAAGAAUAGAUUUCUAUCUUUAAUGACCAACAAACG
RNAcentral lists this long non-coding RNA (1833 nucleotides) under Bemisia tabaci. RNAcentral's name for it is "lncRNA ENSSSA3NGG001495". Lineage: Eukaryota; Metazoa; Arthropoda; Insecta; Hemiptera; Aleyrodidae. The record is from RNAcentral.